RNAcentral lists this ribosomal RNA (1013 nucleotides) under Levilactobacillus brevis. RNAcentral describes it as "bacterial LSU rRNA". It matches the Rfam family "Bacterial large subunit ribosomal RNA", at positions 390 to 1404 of the family's 2925-position model. Lineage: Bacteria; Bacillati; Bacillota; Bacilli; Lactobacillales; Lactobacillaceae. The record is from RNAcentral.
AACCCUCAGUUCAGGAUCCUGAGUACGGCCACACACGUGAAACGUGGUCGGAAUCCGGGAGGACCAUCUCCCAAGGCUAAAUACUCCCUAGUGACCGAUAGUGAACCAGUACCGUGAGGGAAAGGUGAAAAGCACCGCGGAAGCGGAGUGAAAUAGUUCCUGAAACCAUGUGCCUACAAUUAGUUAGAGCCCGUUAAUGGGUGAUAGCGUGCCUUUUGUAGAAUGAACCGGCGAGUUACGUUAAUUUGCAAGGUUAAGGUGGAAAGACCGGAGCCGUAGCGAAAGCGAGUCUGAAACGGGCGUUUCAGUAAAUUGAUGUAGACCCGAAACCAGGUGACCUACCCAUGUCCAGGUUGAAGGUGCGGUAAAACGCACUGGAGGACCGAACCCGUGUAUGUUGAAAAAUGCUGGGAUGAGGUGUGGGUAGCGGUGAAAUUCCAAACGAACUUGGAGAUAGCUGGUUCUCUCCGAAAUAGCUUUAGGGUUAGCCUCGGAGUUAAGAAUCGUGGAGGUAGAGCCACUGUUUGGACUAGGGGCCCGUCAUGGGUUACUGAAUUCAGAUAAACUCCGAAUGCCACAGAUUUAUAUCCGGGAGUCAGACGAUGAGUGAUAAGAUCCACCGUCGAAAGGGGAACAGCCCAGACCACCAAUUAAGGUCCCUAAAUACAUGCUGAGUGGAAAAGGAUGUGGAGUUGCAUAGACAGCUAGGAUGUUGGCUCAGAAGCAGCCACCAUUUAAAGAGUGCGUAAUAGCUCACUAGCCGAGUGAUUCUGCGCCGAAAAUUUACCGGGGCUAAGCAUGUUACCGAAAUUGUGGAUUCGACCGUAAGGUCGAGUGAUAGGAGAGCGUUCUAAGGGCAACGAAGCAAGAUCGCAAGGACUUGUGGAGCGCUUAGAAGUGAGAAUGCCGGUAUGAGUAGCGAAAGAUCAGUGAGAAUCUGAUCCACCGAAUGACUAAGGUUUCCUGGGGAAGGCUCGUCCUCCCAGGGUUAGUCGGGACCUAAGCCGAGGCCG